Molecule: non-coding RNA, 111 nt
Organism: Takifugu rubripes (torafugu)
Lineage: Eukaryota; Metazoa; Chordata; Actinopteri; Tetraodontiformes; Tetraodontidae
Source: Rfam
GUCAGGAUGGCCGAGCGGUCUGAGGCGCCAGACUCAAGGAUCAACUCCUUCCGGUGUUACGGGGCUUCUGGUCUCCCAAUGGAGGCGUGGGUUCGAAUCCCACUUCUGACA